Molecule: long non-coding RNA, 394 nt
Filed under: Zonotrichia albicollis (white-throated sparrow)
Lineage: Eukaryota; Metazoa; Chordata; Aves; Passeriformes; Passerellidae
Description: lncRNA (ENSZALG00000003274.1)
Source: RNAcentral
UGUUUUCAUAAUCGGGGGGAAGAGGAGGUGCAUUCAUUUUCAAGAAAACUGCCCUGCUCAACAGGGAUGCUGAGAAACUGGUAGAUCAAAACUGAAGAUGGUUGUGAGAGAUAAAGCAGAAAUUUCCAGAGUCUUCAUCUGCCUGCUGCUUUACAGAUUAAACAUAGCGCAUUGCUUCGGGGGAGGCUGGCAGAUUUGGAAAACGAAGUGCAUCUCCUGGGUGGCUUCCCGGCUCCCUGCACAGGACCAAGAGGCAUAAGCUCCUAAAGACCUGAGCCUCUGUUUGGCAAACCCAUAUGUGGGAAGAUGAAAGCAGUCGGAGGCCUUUUGGAAGGGACCCAUGUGGCCUGCAGUACCUCUGGCAGACUGUCUUUUACAGAGAUGUCAAUGAGGU